Molecule: ribosomal RNA, 497 nt
Filed under: uncultured bacterium
Lineage: Bacteria
Description: partial 16S ribosomal RNA
Rfam family: Bacterial small subunit ribosomal RNA
Source: RNAcentral
GAUGAACGCUGGCGGCGUGCCUAAUACAUGCAAGUCGAGCGAACAGACGAGGAGCUUGCUCCUCUGAUGUUAGCGGCGGACGGGUGAGUAACACGUGGAUAACCUACCUAUAAGACUGGGAUAACUUCGGGAAACCGGAGCUAAUACCGGAUAACAUGUUGAACCGCAUGGUUCAACAGUGAAAGACGGUCUUGCUGUCACUUAUAGAUGGAUCCGCGCCGCAUUAGCUAGUUGGUAAGGUAACGGCUUACCAAGGCAACGAUGCGUAGCCGACCUGAGAGGGUGAUCGACCACACUGGAACUGAGACACGGUCCAGACUCCUACGGGAGGCAGCAGUAGGGAAUCUUCCGCAAUGGGCGAAAGCCUGACGGAGCAACGCCGCGUGAGUGAAGAAGGUCUUCGGAUCGUAAAACUCUGUUAUUAGGGAAGAACAAAUGUGUAAGUAACUAUGCACGUCUUGACGGUACCUAAUCAGAAAGCCACGGCUAACUACGUG